GGCCCACCACAUCCGGAUGUUUGGGCGUAAGCGUCCGCAGGUGGUUCGUUAAGUCACUGGUCAAAUCUCUGGGCUCAACCCCGAGACUGCUGGUGAUACUGGCGGACUUGAGGCCGGCAAAGGUAAGCGGAAUUGCAGGUGUAGCGGUAAAAUGCGUUUAUAUCUGCAAGAACACCAAAGGCGAAGGCAGCCUACUGGAACGGUCCUGACACUCAUGGACGAAAGCGUGGGGAGCGAAAAGGAUUAGAUACCCUUGUAGUCCACGCUGUAAACGAUGUGUGCUGGAUAUUAGAAGUAUCGACCCUUCUAGUGUCGUCAAAAAAAGCUAACGCGUUAAGCACACCGCCUGGGGAGUACGGCCGCAAGGCUAAAACUCAAAGGAAUAGACGGGGACCCGCACAAGCGGUGGAACAUGUGGUUUAAUUCGACGGUAAACGAAGAACCUUACCAGGGCUUGAAAUGUUUGGAGUAUGUUCUCCGAAAGGAGAGCGGACCGUUAAAUCGGAUCCAUUCACAGGUGCUGCAUGGUUGCCGUCAGCUCGUGCCGUGAGGUGUACCCUUAAGUGGGGUAACGAGCGCAACCCCUAUGCUGUGUUGUAAUUUCACAGCAGACUGCCUCGGUUAACGAGGAGGAAGGCGGGGACGACGUCAAAUCAGCAUGGCUCUUACGUCCUGGGCCACACACGUGUUACAAUGGCAGAUACAAUGGGUAGCCAAGCCGCGAGGCGGAGCUAAUCUCAUCAAAGUCUGUCUCAGUUCGGAUAGAAGUCUGCAACUCGACUUCUUGAAGCCGGAAUCGCUAGUAAACGCCGGUCAGCUAUACAGCGUUGAAUACGUUCUCGGGUCUUGUACUCACCGCCCGUCACACCAAGAGAGUCGGUAAUACCUGAAGCGGCCCUUUGGGGUCACCAAGGUAGGAUCGAUGAUAAGGUG
Molecule: ribosomal RNA, 933 nt
Filed under: uncultured bacterium
Lineage: Bacteria
Description: bacterial SSU rRNA
Rfam family: Bacterial small subunit ribosomal RNA
Source: RNAcentral